Molecule: transfer RNA, 74 nt
Filed under: Caudoviricetes sp.
Lineage: Duplodnaviria; Heunggongvirae; Uroviricota; Caudoviricetes
Description: tRNA-Pro
Rfam family: tRNA
About the family: Transfer RNA (tRNA) molecules are approximately 80 nucleotides in length. Their secondary structure includes four short double-helical elements and three loops (D, anti-codon, and T loops). Further hydrogen bonds mediate the characteristic L-shaped molecular structure. tRNAs have two regions of fundamental functional importance: the anti-codon, which is responsible for specific mRNA codon recognition, and the 3' end, to which the tRNAs corresponding amino acid is attached (by aminoacyl-tRNA synthetases). tRNAs cope with the degeneracy of the genetic code in two manners: having more than one tRNA (with a specific anti-codon) for a particular amino acid; and 'wobble' base-pairing, i.e. permitting non-standard base-pairing at the 3rd anti-codon position.
Source: RNAcentral
CUGGAUAUGGUUCAGUUUGGUAGAACGCCUGAUUUGGGUUCAGGAGGUCGCAGGUUCAAAUCCUGCUAUUCAGA